UACAGAGGGUGCGAGCGUUAAUCGGAAUUACUGGGCGUAAAGCGCACGUAGGUGGCGACGUAAGUCGGGUGUGAAAUCCCCGGGCUCAACCCGGGAACCGCGUCCGAUACUGGAAGGCUUGAAUCCGGGAGAGGGAUGCGGAAUUCCAGGUGUAGCGGUGAAAUGCGUAGAUAUCUGGAGGAACACCGGUGGCGAAGGCGGCAUCCUGGACCGGCAUUGACGCUGAGGCGCGAAAGCUAGGGGAGCAAACGGG
RNAcentral lists this ribosomal RNA (253 nucleotides) under uncultured bacterium. Its description in RNAcentral is "partial 16S ribosomal RNA". It matches the Rfam family "Bacterial small subunit ribosomal RNA", at positions 524 to 776 of the family's 1533-position model. The record is from RNAcentral.